RNAcentral lists this ribosomal RNA (694 nucleotides) under Desulfovibrionales bacterium LSR-S2H7. Its description in RNAcentral is "bacterial SSU rRNA". It matches the Rfam family "Bacterial small subunit ribosomal RNA", at positions 88 to 765 of the family's 1533-position model. Lineage: Bacteria; Pseudomonadati; Thermodesulfobacteriota; Desulfovibrionia; Desulfovibrionales. The record is from RNAcentral.
GAGUAGAGCGGCGCAGGGUGAGUAACGCGUGGAUCAUCUGCCUAAAAGUUCGGGAUAACGGCGGGAAACUGCCGCUAAUACCGGAUACGCUCCAAUUUCGGUUGGGGGAAAGUCGGCCUCUGCUUGCAAGCUGUCGCUUUUAGAUGAGUCCGCGUCCCAUUAGCUUGUUGGUGGGGUAAUGGCCUACCAAGGCAACGAUGGGUAGCUGGUCUGAGAGGAUGAUCAGCCACACUGGAACUGAAACACGGUCCAGACUCCUACGGGAGGCAGCAGUGGGGAAUAUUGCGCAAUGGGGGAAACCCUGACGCAGCGACGCCGUGUGAGGGAAGAAGGCUUUCGGGUCGUAAACCUCUGUCGGGAAGGAAGAACCCCUCAGGGCCUAAUAUGCUCUGGGGCUGACGGUACUUCCAAAGGAAGCACCGGCUAACUCCGUGCCAGCAGCCGCGGUAAUACGGAGGGUGCAAGCGUUAAUCGGAAUCACUGGGCGUAAAGCGCGCGUAGGCCGCUUUUUAAGUCGGGCGUGAAAGCCCUCGGCUCAACCGAGGAAUUGCGUUCGAAACUGAGAAGCUUGAGUCCUGGAGAGGGUGGCGGAAUUCCGGGUGUAGGAGUGAAAUCCGUAGAUAUCCGGAGGAANCACCGGUGGCGAAGGCGGCCACCUGGACAGGUACUGACGCUUGAGGCGCGAAAGCGUGGG